This 377-nucleotide unclassified non-coding RNA is filed under the name uncultured bacterium. Its description in RNAcentral is "contains 16S-23S intergenic spacer region". The record is from RNAcentral.
UCCUCCUUACAGAGGCAGUUUCGUCCGAGUCCCCGACAUUACUCGCUGGUAACAGACAAUGAGGGUUGCGCUCGUUGCGGGACUUAACCCAACAUUUCACAACACGAGCUGACGACAGCCAUGCACCACCUGUGCUCCACCCUCGAAGGCGACCACUUUUCGGCGGCUUGCAGGAACAUGUCAAGCCCUGGUAAGGUUCUUCGCGUUGCAUCGAAUUAAGCCACAUGCUCCACCGCUUGUGCGGGCCCCCGCCAAUUCCUUUGAGUUUUAGCCUUGCGGCCGUACUCCCCAGGCGGAGUGCUUAAUGCGUUAGCUACGGCGCGGAAAACGUGGAAUGUCCCCCACACCUAGUGCCCAACGUUUACGGCAUGGACUAC